CCUACGGGAGGCAGCAGUAGGGAAUAUUGCUCAAUGGGGGAAACCCUGAAGCAGCAACGCCGCGUGGAGGAUGAAGGUUUUCGGAUUGUAAACUCCUUUUGUUAGAGAAGAUAAUGACGGUAUCUAACGAAUAAGCACCGGCUAACUCCGUGCCAGCAGCCGCGGUAAUACGGCGGGUGAAAGCGUUACUCGGAAUCACUGGGCGUAAAGAGCGCGUAGGCGGGAUAGCAAGUCAGAUGUGAAAGCCUAUGGCUUAACCAUAGAACUGCAUUGGAAACUGUUAUUCUAGAGUAUGGGAGAGGUAGGUGGAAUUCUAGGUGUAGGGGUAAAAUGCGUAGAGAUCAAGAGGAAUACUCAUUGCGAAGGCGACCUGCUAGAACAUAACUGACGCUGAGGCGCGAAAGCGUGGGGAGCAAACAGGAUUAGAUACCCCAGUAGUC
RNAcentral lists this ribosomal RNA (440 nucleotides) under uncultured bacterium. Its description in RNAcentral is "partial 16S ribosomal RNA". It matches the Rfam family "Bacterial small subunit ribosomal RNA", at positions 338 to 795 of the family's 1533-position model. The record is from RNAcentral.